This is an RNA transcript of Nomia melanderi (Alkali bee), 10227 nucleotides long. It is a transcript of the gene named sortilin-related receptor, with no coding region annotated. Lineage: Eukaryota; Metazoa; Arthropoda; Insecta; Hymenoptera; Halictidae. The record is from RefSeq and is a predicted model, not a curated record.
AGGAGUGGUGGCGCGCAAGUGAAGAUAGAUCAGAUACUUUAACCUCAUGUAACAUUGCCUUCAAAUGCAGCAAGUUUAACGAUCUUAUUGCUUCCUGUGAUAAAAUCUUAUCAUUAUAAUUAUCCAAGAACAAAGUUGCUUCCGGACACCGCGUAUAUUUCUCAGUGCAUAUAUACGCGUAAUUGGUCAUUAAAGAAAGUCAGUCUGAGCAAGAUGGCCGGCCGGAUGAGUUCGGCCUUUCGUUAUUCCGCGAUUGUUUUACAUUUGACAUUAUUAACAAGUUUGAAUAAUGGACUGAGGUACGGUGACAAGGCGACCACACUUCACAUCGUCGAGGACGACCAUCCGUUCAAAGGCAGACAGCCAGUUGUCAUCAAUCGGGACGAGCAUUUGCACGAUGAUGAUGCCAGCGAAACGUCAUCGAGUCGAAGUCGCAGAGAUGUUCCUCCAGAACAUCCGGCAAAUGAUCCACACAUCGUAACGAAGGUUAAUGCUUUAAAUGAUUCUCAUCAGCAAUUGAUGGUGCACUGGGUCGGAGAUGGAUCUAAUGUAAUAAUAUGCUUAGCAAGGGAUAAUUUGCAAAUACUGCGACAUCAGGGAAGUAAAUUCACCAACGUUCCCAUUCCCAGUGCUGUUUAUAUAAGUUAUGAUUAUGGAGAUACAUUUAUAAACAAAACUGAACACUUUAGAGUCUCUUCCGAGCCCAAUGCAGAAUAUGCAACAUUGGAUAAGUUUAUGAACCAUCCAAAAUAUUAUAUAUAUUGUAUUUUUGUGGACAGUGCGAAUAAGUUACUUUUUCUUACACCCAACAAUGGAGAGAUUAUUCAAAGGGUUGCACUUCCAUUUAAUCCAAGUGAAAUUUCCUUUUCUGAGACAGACCCUAGAGCUCUUCUUGCUCUUGAUAAAAAAGAUCCAGAACGCAAAUUAUGGUUAUCGAUGAACAUGGGAAUCACUUGGGUUCCAAUAUGUCUCUAUGUGAAAGCAUUCUUUUGGUCGUCUUCGCCUGUAGUAGUAAUCGAACGAAUGUCGCCUUCUGGAUCAAAUACCGUUUUAGAAUUACCGUGGACACACAUUAUCGAUAGAUUGCUCAAGGUUGGACCAGAUAAGGGAUCAUUAAACGAAUCAUUGACAGUUGUGAUGACAAAUGUUGAAGAUUUUCAGAUGAAAGGUGAUUAUAGAUUCGCAACGUCGAAAGAUACAAAGAGUGAACACGAGAAUCUGGAUCUGUACGUGUCUUACAAGAAUAAUAGUUUCGUGAAGGCGGAAUUUAGUACGGACUUGCCUCGUAAAAAUUACCACAUUGUCGACGUUUCCUAUAAUAGGAUCUUUGUCACAGUUGCUCAUAACGAAACUCAAGUAAACCUGUAUGUAUCAGAGAUUAUAGACGAAAAACGAGCAACGUUCGUCUUAUCACUCGAAGGAAUUAUGACGUUCUUCCCCAACAGUACCUGGAAAGACAGUUGGUUAAAUGACGUGGCCGACGACACGUUUACUGACCUGUACAAAGUGGAGGGUCUUCGAGGUAUCUACAUAGUGUCUCAAGUAAAGGGCACACCCAAAUCAGGCACAAUCGGACCAGAGCAUUUAGUGUCAUUGAUAACAUUCGAUCACGGUUCGACAUGGAAUCCCAUCAGUACACCGACUGCAAAUCACGAAGGAUUUUAUAUACAUUGCAUGAAAAAUUGUUCGUUGCACUUAAGUCAACGUUUCAGUCAGUUGUACCCUGUGACUAGAUCUGUGUCAAUCAUGAGUUCAAAGUCGGCACCGGGUAUUAUAAUGGCCACUGGUGUUAUAGGAUCGAGUCUGAAGGGUCAUCCUGCACUCUACGUGUCCAGAGACGCUGGAAUAACGUGGAAACAGGUUCUGAAGGAUUAUUACUUCUUUAACAUGGGCGACCAUGGUGGUUUAUUGGUAGCCGUGAAGUAUUUUAAAUCGCGCGGUGAAACAAGAGAUCUUUCUUAUUCUAUUGAUGAAGGCGAGAAUUGGCAAACGUAUACAUUCAACGAGAAAAUGUUGAGGGUGUAUGGAUUAAUGACCGAGCCGGGUGAGAACACUACGGUAUUCACGAUGUUCGGCUCGGACAGUGGUCAGCAUCAGUGGCUUAUAAUCAAAGUUGAUUUGCGGAAUGUAUUCGCGAAAAACUGUACCGAUGAAGACUUUAAAUUCUGGUAUCCAUUGCACUGGGAUCAAUCGGAGAUAUCAUGCUGGUUAGGUAGGAAGGAGAUCUAUCGCAGGCGAGCCACAUGGGCGAAUUGUUACACCGGCGUAGAUUACACUCGGCCAAUUCGAACGGUUUUAUGUCAGUGCGAAUCUAACGACUAUCAAUGCGAUUUUGGAUUCAUGCGGGAGGGUAAUCCGUCCAUGUGCAUCCGUAACAAAUCUAUGUUCUGGUACGAUCCUUAUGCCAUACCGAGCACUUGUAAACCCGGCGAGUUUUACAAUCGAACCAAGGGCUAUGUAAAGAUAUCCGACGAUGAGUGUGUCGGUGGUUCAGCAAGAAACUUCGAACCGGACGAGAUCCCGUGUCCCAUAGGCGAAGUAUCGCAAUUCUUAUUGGUAGCCCAACGGGAGCAUAUAUCGCGUAUCGAUUUGGCGGAAGAGAAUCUGGAGAAGUUACCUGUCCACGACUUGAAGAACGUUAUAGCAAUUGAUUUCGAUAUGAAAAACAAUUGCCUGUACUGGGCCGACAUUGUAAAUGACACGAUCGGUAGACAGUGUUUUAAUGGUACGAACGCUCCGGAGAUCUUAGUUGAGACCGAUCUGAGUUCCAUCGAAGGAAUGGCGUUCGACUGGGUCUCCAAUCUCCUAUACUUCGUCGACGGUGUUAAAAUGAGAAUCCAGGUGAUCAGAACAGACAUAUCCAACAUGGGAAGAAUGCGAAGGACUAUCCUUGGGCCUAAUAAUCUUCGGAAGCCGAGGGGCAUAGCAGUCCAUCCGAUGAACGGGUACAUGUUCUGGACUGAUUGGGCGCCAGACAACGCCUCAGUUUCUCGUGCCAAUCUGGACGGGACAGAAGUGAAACGAUUGUUUGUGGAACCGACUGUGGAGUGGCCGAAUGGGAUAACGAUAGAUCACAUAGCUGAGCGUAUCUACUGGGUAGAUGCCCAGCAGGAUUACAUUGGAUCUAGCGACUUCGACGGCAAGAAGUUCAAGAAGGUAAUUUCGAACAACGAGCGGGUGUCACACCCAUUCGCCGUCGCAGUGUUCAAAGACAGCAUGUACUGGGAUGACUGGAAGCAAUCAAUGAUAUUCGUUGCGGACAAAGAUCACGGUCUCGGCAUUUACGCGAUCAUAGGCGAGUUGACUGGUUUGAUGGAUCUGAAGGUAUUCGCGCAUAGUAUCCAACAGGGUACGAAUGCAUGCGCAAACAGCACCUGCCCGUACAUUUGUGUCGGAGCACCGAAGAACGGCUAUUCCUGUCUUUGUCCAGACGGUAUGGAGAUGGUUGACGGCAAGUGUAUGUGUCCGGAAGGUGUCACUCCCAAUCCGAACUUCACGUGUCCACGGGUGGCGAGUACAUGCGCAGCGAAUCAGUUCACCUGCAACAACGACGUGUGCAUUCCGGAGUUCUGGCAUUGUGACGGAGAUAAUGAUUGCGGCGACCGUUCCGACGAGCUCAACUGUCCCCGAAAGUCUUGCUUCCCGAACUUUGAAUGCGAUAACAACACCAAAUGCAUCUCUCCGGCUUGGGUAUGCGACAUAGACAAGGACUGCAGAGACGGUACCGACGAGAUGAACUGCAAGUACUCGACUUGUCCCGAAAAUUUAUUCAAAUGCGAUGGUGGCAGAUGUAUAGUACAGAGAUGGGUGUGUGAUGGUGAAUACGAUUGCCAGGACUUUUCAGACGAGUUGUUCUGCAAGACCGAACCCGGCGAUGUAGCGCGCAACAACACCUGCAGGUCUGACGAAAUGCUUUGCAAACACGAACGCACUUGUAUACCCACAGGCUGGAAAUGUGACGGCGAGGUUGACUGCGAAGAUGGCAUGGACGAGACGGACUGCAGUAGGAUCGUAUGCGAGAAUUGGCAGUUUACUUGUAACCUAUUUCAAGGGAAUCGCAGGUGUAUUUACAAGUCAUUCGUUUGCGACGGCGAUAAGGAUUGCCCGGAUGGCUCCGAUGAAGUUGACUGCGGUAAUUCAAGUCGAACGCCAGCGACAGUGGUCCCGGUGAAUCCGGCGUUACCGACUAGCCCCUGUAACGACUGGAUGUUCAUGUGUGCUAAUAAGAAAUGCGUGCCUUACUGGUGGAAAUGCGACAGCGUAGACGAUUGUGGCGACGACUCCGACGAAUUCGGUUGCGGAAACCCUGAAGAUACGGAUACCACUACAGCGAUCGUGGAUGUCACUGUGCAGCCUAAGGUUUGUAAGGAGAAUCGGUUCCAAUGUAUGAACGGGUUUUGCAUACCGAAUGCUUGGGUCUGUGACGGCACAAACGAUUGCCCUUCAGGAGAAGACGAGCUGCGCUGUGUUGGCGAUAAGGGCAAAUGCAACGAGGGGCAGUUCAAAUGUCGGAUAUCUGGCGGUUGCAUACCUAUAGCAGCCGUUUGUAACGGUGAGAUCGAUUGUCCUGAUGAAACCGAUGAACUGGGCUGCUCCAGCGAACAGCACUCUACACCUGCAACGCCAUCAUGUCAUCCUGGCCUGUUCCCCUGUGACGAGGUCAAUUGUUUCCCGUUGGCCUCUUUCUGCGACGGUAAUCCGGAAUGCUUAGAUGGCUUCGACGAGAAUAACUGCGACAAGAACAACUCGCGUGUUUACCAGGUACUCGUGAUGGGAAUAGACGAACGUUCCACGAAUGCUACCAGCCUCUUCUUGUUCUGGUUGAUACCGGUCCCAGCGAAUGUUACCUUCGAAUUUCUACCGUCUAUCGCGUACGCGGAUCCACCGGGCAACUGGACAAACUCCACCAAGUGGAUCGAGGAGAUGGACUAUCAGUUCAACGAACUGAAACCGUACACGCGUUACAACGUCACGGUCUACGUUAGGGUGAAAGGACAGUCCACGGUGUUCCCUCCAGCUAAAUACUUGAUAGUCAUGACAGGGAAAGGUGUCCCAUCCGAACCGCGAAACCUCACCGUGAAACAAGGCAACGGUACUCGUGUGGAACUGCAUUGGUUACCUCCUUUGCAUCCGAAUGGACCUAUCAUUGGUUACGAGGGUUUCAUGACACCGCCUAAUCCGCCUGUACGGUUCUUCAAGGUAAAAUCGCCAGCGGUGAUCGAUUUGAUGUUCGAGGACGGCAAGAAUUAUUCUUUCUGGGUGAUAGCCAGGAACGGUGAAUACGAGUCGGCUUCCUCAAACGUGGCCACGUUAACUUUCGAUGGAUCCGUGAACAUUGACUAUAUUGAGAAGCUGCUCAUAUUUGCGACCACUAAUCACUCCGUUGAAUUAGGUUGGAAACCGAUUAAGAAUGUUGACGAGUAUCAGGUGAAACCGAGAGCAAGCUAUGGUCUUUCGUAUCCAAAAUUGCCAAUGAUUACGACAACGCAGCACCGAAUAGAGGUAAAGAAUUUGUCACCCGGUGUCAGGUACUUUUUCGAAGUGAAGGCAGUUAGAAAGAACUAUUUUGGAAGAACAUCCACCAUAUCCGCAACCACGCAGGGCACACAGUUGCCAGUGGUUCGCAACCUUACCGCACACUGGGUGAAGCAACAAGAUGCGCCUAUAACUUUAUCGUGGCAACCACCUGAACCCGAGAAGAAGAUCAAGUGGCAGUAUGCUAUUCAUUAUAGCAACAUUUUCGCGACUGUUUUCGAUGAACGCAAACUACUCACAACAAAUCUGACGGUCACGAUCGAAAAUCUGGAAGCUUGUAAACAAUAUUGGUUCGCGGUUGGAGUUAAUGGAGAGUACGGUGUUGGUCCUCUGUGUCCGCCAAUCGGUGUAUUCACGAGUUUCAAUGCACGUGCUCCACCAAAGAGACCAAGAGUGUUGAAAUCAGACAGGGACGACACUAUAAUUAUUGCGUGGACUGCCAGUUGUUACGAUAUCUAUGAACCUAUCAAGUAUACGAUUACUGUAAUCGAGAUGACACGUAACAAGAAUUUUGUUGUAACCUUGCCACCAACGAACGAAACUAUAAUGAAACACACAUUCAGUUCUAUAAGGCACGGCGGCAAGUAUUGCAUCGUAAUAGCUACAGACGUAGAAAACGCUGAGCCAAGUCAGCCGAUUUUCUAUAAUGCACCUGAGAUAUCGCCUCCGCAUCAGCUUCAAGUCAUUUCUGAAGGAUCAGAGUACAUUAUAUUCUGGCAAGAACACAAUCUGCCUGAAAGUCUGACGAACGGAAAAUACCAUUACGAGAUUUUGGUGGCGGAAGGAUCCAACAAGAUAAACGAGUCUAUUGCUAAAGUCAUCAAGGUUGAUCAACCAUCGUACAACUUCAGGGAUGUUAAGCCGAAUGUGAUCUACAGUUUCGCAGUUCGUUUGGUCUCCGAUGAAGGCUAUCAAAGUCCUUUGAGUGAAGUUGUUAGCAUCAGAACUUCUGCUGAUGAAUUGGCGUUGCCGGUGGCAAUAAGUACAUCCAACAUUCUGUCUUUUGCUAUACCCAUCUGUUUGCUCAUUAUUGCUCUGGGAUCCGCGUUGACAUACUUUGUAGUGAGACACAAGAAGCUGUCCAAGAGUUUCACACAAUUUGCCAACAGCCAUUAUGAUACAAGACGCGGGCAAGCGACCUUCCCAGGAACUGCAGACGGUUUGGAAGAGGAAGAUAGCCCCGUGAUUCGAGGCUUUUCCGACGACGAACCGUUGGUGAUAGCGUAAACCCCGAAACACCCAAUGUCCUCAAUUAAAUUCACACACCUACACAGAAACAUAUCACAGAUAAAUCACUGAGACACAUAUAUACGUACAUGAAUAUGAUAUUUACAUGUUAGGAGAAAUGUGCCAAGACACUAUUAUUAAUUGCGGAUAACUUCGAGUAUACAUAUGUAUAGAUAAGACUUGAUCAUAUAAGAGGGAAGCUUUUAUGAAAGUGACUCGAGAUUGAUACACUUCAUUAAUCCUAACAAGUUACAGACUGAUUAGACGGGCUGCUUAGAGCACUUACAUGAAAGCUUUUGCAAAUUACCAACCUCCUUUACGAGUUAUAGAGACCUAAUUCUACACGUUAUCGCUCAGAAUUUCGGAGUGUCUUUCGGACCUUGGAAUGAAAGAUGUUCGAUUUUUUAGUUACAUCUAUAGACAAGUUCCUUCUUUCUUAGCUGUUGGUCUAUUCAUGAGUCAGCAGUACAUAAGUCAUGCCCAGUAAUAAAUCUAUUACCAGACUGCGGAUCUCUAUGCAAAAUUAUAAUUUCUUGGAUGUAAUUUACAAAGACUGACGUUGAAAGAAACUCGCUUCCCUCUGCCAAUGAUAUUAACGCGUUACCAUUGGGGUGCAAACAGCAUUGAAACCAAUUGUAUUUUACAUUUCGUCGUGCGUCUCAGAUUUGCAUUUAACGUUAAACGCAUAAAAAUCUGCAGUCUGUUUCUAUCACUGUAAUCAAACGAAUCGAAUUAUACAGCGGUCGAAGGAUGUUCCAAAUGUUCGAGCCAUAGCGUAAAUGUACAUGAUAUUAAUUAGUAUACGGAAUCAGCUAGGUCUACGUCAUUAAGACGGGCCGAAAUGGUGGAAAGAAGUUGUUGAUAUAUAUAUGUAAAAGUCGUACAAGAAGAGAAUGAGAGAUAGAGAGAGAAAGGUAGAGAGAAAGCAUGUACAUAUAGUAAAUAUUUUGUACCGAAUUGCGGAGACUAGUAGCAUUUUUCAAGAUGCCAUGCAUACAAUGACGCUCACACGGGUUUGUAUAAUAGGAUGAGGUUUAAUCAUUUGGCAAAGAUUCUUUCAUUGUCAAUGCGUUGGGGUGUUGCUCGAAUGGCAGCCGGAUCAGUCGAAAAUCGGUUUUUACGUAUUUUUACAGAGAGGAGACAAAGAGAAACAUUCUCCUGUCCAAAGUUAACGAAAGCAUUUUAUAUAACUCUGCCUCUUCUAAUUGUUUUGUAAUAAAUCUUUUUUACGGAAAUAUAACGAACACGUAUGUAUACACGUGGACACAGGCUGACGAGAGCUUAUCUCUAUACUUUUAGGAAGGGUGCAGAAGACUCCGCGUGAUCGCGAUGAAAGUUCCGUUAGUUUAAACCGUUCCAACGUGAUCCACGACGAUCCGAGAUCGCGUUUGGUGCAGCUAACGAUAAGCGAAACGGAACACCAGUCUCUUGUAAAGAAAGAAUGCGUAUGUGCAUGUGCGUGAGUGCGUGAGUGCGCGUGAGAGAAAGGGAGAAAGAGAAAGAAAUUGUAUAUUUAAGCGCGACGUUGUUCGUGCAGUUCCAUUCUGGAACCUGUACGUUGGUUCAUGGUUUUCAUUGGGAAGGAACGGUGUCUUGGAUUUUAUUGCACAGGGUAUUUCGUGGACGGGGCAAGGGGAGGUUCGUUGAGCAGCGUUAACCCUUUGCAAUAUGAUUGCUUUCUUAGUGUCUUCUCGGUCAACUCUGAUUUCAUUUUUCUGGUUUUGAUGCCUUACGUUGGAUAUGAAGAAAUUGGUCGCAGCUAUUUUAAGUUUCAACUAUGACAUGAAUAUUAUUUUAUGUAGAAUAUUAUGAAUAUUGUUAUUUCAGUUAGUGAUAUUAUUAUUUCAAUUAAAUAAUAUUUGUUAGUGAUACUAUUACCUCGAUUAAAUAAUAUUUAAUCUGUUUGUUAACCGUAUGAAGUGUGUCAUGUCAGAGGUGACUCAAGAAUUCUUGGGAAAAGUUGCGUUGCUAAACCAGUGGUGACUACGUAGUGCAAAGGGUUAAUCAAGGUUCGUUCUACGCCGUGUCUGUCUGUUCAACUGAAACGCAUUUAAUCUGGAAAGUCUUUUCGGAAUUCGAUUUUAAGGAAACAACAUUAUCGUUGAAAACAAACGAUCAUUUUUUAAUCGUUAACGCUCGCGUCGGAUUCCUUCAGUUUCAAAUCAAUCGAUCGAUAGACUCUUAUAGCUCACCAGUGUUACGGAUAUCACGGCACAGUUGUUCGCAAGAAUCUUUCUGUAAAUAAAUAAGGAAACUAGAAAUCAUCGGCAGAUACACAUACAUAUACAUAUGUAUUACGCGUUGAUAGAAGCCAUCUGAAAGGAGUGCAGCUCUAAUUGGUCAGAGUGAAAGGAGGCACGCCCCCUCUUGCAGUUUUGACAGUAACAUGUUAUUCGUCAAUACAAUCACACGCCAAUUAACACGUUGAAUGUUCUGGUGUUCUGGUCAUUGCCUCAAUCAAAUAAAAUUACUGUAAUCCGUUGGACUAAAGGAUAACUGUUCAGAAACUUUUCGAAGCUUCACUCGUGAUCCAAUUAACACGUUCGCGACCACGGCCAAAUUUGAACUAUAAUUCAUAGAAUUUUUACACAUUUAAUGCAUAGUGAUUAAACUGUAUAAUAUUUUCACAAUUCAAAUAGUUUCACAUAUUAUAUCAGACGCUAAAUAUAUGAUAAGAUCGCAAUGGCAACGGUAAUUAACUGAAUUCUUUAAACGAAUCGCUGCCUCACAAAAGUACUUAUUUACGCGACGCGUGCUCGUGAACGUGUUAAAAUAGUGAAUUGAGUGCGAAUCAACUUAAUUUAAAAAUGAAAAAGAAAAAGGAACGAUGCAACGUAAAGCAGUUGAGUAGCUCAAUCUGAUAAUCCGAUAUUAUAAUUUCCAAUUCAACGUGUUAAUUUCGCGACGUUUCCGUUCUUCUGUUUCUCAUUGUUUCUUCCAUUGAUGUUUCCUUGUUUCUUCGCGUUCGUUUUUUCUUCUGAUCGCUGUGUGCGCUGAAUGUUCCGAGAUUAAAGCGUCGUUGGGAUAUUACCGGUGGAGAUCGAUCCAAGCAUUGUCAACACGAUGAUUAUUAGACGAGAGAAACGCAGAAGAGGAUGGGAGAGACGGUGGAAACGUCUGGCUCGGACAACUUCGAUGGGGUCGCGUUGACGAGGGCGACGAGUUUACGGGAGCAUAGUUUGUGUCGGCACUGUCGCAGGGAAUUUCCUAAGGAAUUCGAGUCGAAUACCCGUCACUUCAACGUUCAACGAUCACGUUCGAUGAAUUUAUUUACGCGAAAAACCUCUUCAGCGUUUUACCAUUUACGAAGAGAAGAGUGAAGACAUUUUUGUAAAAAAUAAAAUGGUCAUCGACGCGCGGGAUACGGGCUGACUGUCAGUUAACACGUUAAAUGCCAUGUCAGUCACUGAUGACUGACGCUUCUGAAUUACUUGAAAACAAUUUAACACGUUCGCUAGCAGCGCU